This 5397-nucleotide long non-coding RNA is filed under the name Sus scrofa (pig). RNAcentral describes it as "lncRNA (ENSSSCG00060017706.1)". The record is from RNAcentral. Lineage: Eukaryota; Metazoa; Chordata; Mammalia; Artiodactyla; Suidae.
AAGUGCUUAUUUUUCAGCACUCCAUGGAGAGAAACAGCGUCUCUCGACUGAGCGGGAGGGUGGCUCCUGUGUGUAGUUGUGUUACAGUAUAUGGAGAGGCCACAGCAUUCAGCCAGAUGAACUUAGUUAAUCUUACCCUCCAAGAAAGAUGGCUCCACAGCUUCCAUCAGUAGCCUUUGCUUGAAAUUUCAGGUGAUAGAAGUGUCUUUUGUUCUAAUGGGGCAGCUCUUGGUAAGUUCCUAGAUAGCUUCAGGAAGGGAGCUGGUCACCAGAAAGACUAAGGAAGAUUAGAUGCUUGGAACUUUCAACCCCAUCCUCAUCUUCCAGGAAGGGGUAGGGGGCUAGAGACUGAGUUAAUGAUCAGUCAUGCUCAUGUGAUGAAGCCUCCACUAAAAUGCUGAUAGGAGUUUGGAGACCUUCCGGGUUGGUGAACCUAUCUGUGUACCAGGAAGGUGAUGCACCUCAACUGUGCAAGUGCAGAAGCUCCUCUACUCAGGACUCACUCUACCCUAUGUUGCUGUUCAUCUGAAUCCUUUAUCAUAUCCUGUAUUAUAUAAUAAACUGGUUAACUUUUAAGUGUUUCCCUGAAUUCUGUGAGCCAUGCUAGCAGACUAGCAAAACCAAGGCAGGGAGCCCUGACUUAGAGCUGGUCAGUCAGAAGUAGGAGUGACAAGCUGGGCUUACCCUCUCACAUAGGGUGCAAGGAGGCAAUCUUGUGGAACUUGAGCCCUUAGCCUCUGGGGUCUGUUCUAACUCUAGUUGGUAUGAGAAUUAUAGAACACCUAGCCUGUGUGCUAUGAUUGGUGUGGAAAACCCACACAUCUGUUGUCAUGUUGUAAGUAUGAGAGUAAAGGAGAAACAUUCAAGUGUUUUUCUCACACGAAUAAUAAGCCUAACAACUGAUUGAAGUGUUUAUGUGUUAGAGAUAGCAUUUCAAAUGGGUAUAUAAACCAGUUUUAUCAGCAUCAUAUAUCUCUUUGGGCGGGAGAGAUAGAAUUUCCUCCCACGUAUACCAAUGUAAAUCCCAAAUUAGUUAAAAAGUAUAAAUAUACCAAAUUAAAAAGUUGAAGAAAAUGCAGGUGACUAUCUCAGAUGAAAAGGGAAGGGAUUUUAUUUUUUUUAAAGUUUACCAAAGAUGAAAUACUGAUGACUAAUGAAAAAAGUUUUGUAGUACCUGAAAAAUUCAAAUGAAAACAAACAAUGCUUGCCAAGUGUAAGAAUGUUCUGAGUGUUUUUGUAUAUAUGGUUCAUUUAAUCAAGUCUGUGAAGGAGGCACAUUUGUUUACUCUUUUGUAGAUAAGAGUACAAGUCUAGAGGGGAUAAGUCAUCUACCGUGUGAUCUCCUUAACGAAGCAGUUGAGCUGCAGUCCUGAGCGCUUAUGGUCUGGCUCUAGGUCCACCAUAACCAUGUGCUGUAUGCUGUUGUAGAAGAUUCCAUUUUGCGUAUCAAACAGUAUUUGUAUAUAUAACAGCAAAGCCGAAGUGAGUAUAAGCCAGUUCAGCCUUUUUUUUUUUUUUUUUUUUUUUUUUUUUUUAAUUAGUGGUAGUUGUCAGUUGUAGUUGAGAGUUCUUACCUUUAACAACAAUUAAUUACCCAGGCGAAUAACCCGGGGAUGGAGUUUUGGCUAGGGGACUUGAAUUGUUGCAUAGCACAUAAAUUUAAAAAUAGGACUUGUCCAUAUCAGAGGCUAGCAGAAGCCACCCCCUGAAACCAUCCCUGCAACACAAACAACCUGAGCCUCGUGGGUCAAUUUAUGUCAGCAGAUAGUAGGCGAUUAGAGACUUAGUUCAGACCUUUACUGUUAUCAUUCCAGAUUAGAGGCCAGUGAAUUCUACCAGGCUCUGCCAAUUCCCAGGCCAACUGAAGGUAAGAGAUGUUUUCAACCCUCAGGGAAGGGUUGGUGUGCUGGUGAUGAGCUGGAGGAAGGGAGGAGGCUCCAGUGAAGACGGGAGGAAUCUUUGAAGUGCUUAGGAGAACAAGAUACUUUACCAGUCACCCAGUAGAGAAGGAGCUUUUCUGUUCAUCAGCAUGAGUUCUACUGUCAUGAAAUUUAAAAGGUAAGUAGAACUUCCUUGGAGCCUUCUCCUGUGUUACAGGAAACUGGAGGGACCCAUAAGGGUCUGCUAGUGUCAUACUCACCAAACAGCUUCUCAGGCAUAGUUUCUUGAUCAUAUGUGUUUCACAAAGUGUCCACACUUUUGACACAUUUCUCCCAAGGUAGCUUUUUGAGAAGGAUAGGGUUAUCCGUCAUACACUGAAUUAAUCUGCCUGGUUGGCUCCAGCCCCUCCUCGUCAAUCAGUCUCGCACUUUAACUGCUGGAAUCCUUCAGUCUGUCUGUGUGGCUCCAUGCUUAUCAAGGCCACAACAAUUUCAACCUUUUUCAUAACUCUGUAAUUGACACUUCUGCUCAGGCGUUUUCACUGAAUAAAAUGUGAGUUCUCUGCGCCUUUUCGUCUGAAUCUUUAACCUAUGUCAACUGUUCAAGUCCUUUCACUCCUAGGAGAGAAAACUAGCAACUGGUCAUUUUUAGGGGCAUUAUAAAUUGGACAGCCCUUUCAGGAGGCCAUAAAAAUAUUUGUAGCCUUUGUCCUGUUAUUCUUCUGGAAAUCUAAAGAAAGUAACCAAAAGUAUGAGAAACACUUUAUGCAGAAGAAUACAUCACAGUGAUUGAGAAUACCAAAGUAACAACUAUUUGGAGUAAGAAUAAGGUUAAUGAGGAGUCUCAGAGAAUAUUUUCAUUAAAGAGUGGUAAGGUUAAUGGAAAUCAGGAAAGAACAGUCAUCUAGAGCAUAACUAGGAAAGAGGUGAAAUACAUAGUUGAAGAAGUAAAGAAUGGCCAACUCAAGUGAAAUAAAGACUCAAAUUUGCCCACUGGGCUAACCAGGUAAGAAUUUAAACCUUACCCCUAGCUAUACCCAGGUAUUGGCAGGAACAAAAGCCAAACUACAUGUGGAAUUUAAGAGAUGGAAAGAAUGUAGUGCUAUCAAGAAGCUUGUCUAUGAAUGAAAAGAGGUAAAGGACUGUAAGCAGAAGGUAUACAGGCUAAAGAGGAGUUGUCUUUAAGAUGAAAGUCAGUUUACUUCUUUGUUCAUCCACUUGAUGCCUUAAGUGCCUUCUAUGAACCAGUAGUUUUAGUGUGAGAAUCAAUAAACAAGGUAUGGAGUUUUGCUUUGAUGCAGUGUUACUUUGUGGUAAUGGGCAGUGAACAAAUAUUUUAUGGCAUUUGAUGAAUGCUAUGAAAAAAAGGGUGAAGGAUUAUGGUGUGAUAAGUGUAUAGUGCUUAAUUGUAUAAGGUGUCAAGGAAGACCUCUAAUGAGAUGACCUUUGAACAGAGACUUAACUGAGAAAACAAGAUGUGUGAGAUCUCAUCAAAGAUCCAAAAGGGGACUAUGCUUGGCUACUCUGAGCAACAACAAGGAUACCAGGAGAGCUUGAGCAGAGUGAGUGAGAGGGAACUCAGGGGAAUCUGAGGUCAAAGAGGUGGCAGUGGACUGAAUCUUUCUAGGUCUUGCUGAGGUUUGGAUUUCAUUUUGAGUCAAGAUGGCCUGUAGGCAUUGAGUAGAGAAUUUUUUAAGAACUUUCGUUGGUAAAAAGAUUACUAAGGCUGCUGUAUUGACAGACAAGAAAAUGGCAAACCAGCCAGGACACAAUUGUAAUAGUCUAAUUGUGAGCAAAACUUAGGCCCUGUGAGGUGUAUAGCUAAGACCUGAACAAUUCAAUACAUUCAAAAUUGGAAUCACAUCAAACCUUUUUUCUGACCACAAUGGUAAGAAAAUAGAAAUCAUUUACAUGCCAAUGACGAGAAAGUUCACAAAUAGGUGAAGAUUAAACAACAAGCUCUUGUGUACUAAUGGAUCAAAAAAGAAAUUGGAAACAACUACCAAAACUUAGGGGAUACAGCAAAAACAAUUCUAAGAGAAAAGUUUACAGCAGUAAAUGCCUACGUUAGGAAAAAAAAAUCCUAGAACAACCUAGCUUCACACAGCAAGUAACUAGAAAAAGGACUAACCUAGCCCAACAGUAGAAGGAAGGAAAUAACAAAGGUCAGAGUGGAAAUGAAUAGAGACUAAAAGACAAUAGAGAAUGUGAAAUUAGGAUAAGAAUUGGGGCUUUUUGAAAAGAUAAAAUGGACAAACCGUUUUAGCUAAACUCACCAAGAAGAAAAGAGAUGCCUCAAAAUUAUAAAUGAAAGAGGGUUUAUACCACACAAAUACAAAAGCUCAUGAGAGACUACUACAAUUAUACACCAACAAACUGGACAACCUGGAAGGAAAUGGUUACAUUCCUAGAAACAUACACUCUACCAAGACCGAAUCAGGAAGAAAUAGAAAUUCUGAACAAACCAGUAAAUAGCAAGGACCUUGAAUCAGUAAUCAAAAAAACUCCCAACAAGGAAAAGUACAGUAUGAAAUGGCUUCACCAAUGACUUCCAAACAUUUAAAUAAUACCAACCCUUCUCAAACCUCCACAAAAUAGAAGAGUGUAUUUCCAAACUAAUUUUUCAAAGUCAUCGUUAUCUUGAUACUAAAACUAGACAAGUCAGUAUAAGAAAAAAAUUCACAAGCCAAUAAACUGGAUCAUGUAGUAUGUAUCAAUUGAAAAAAAUCUGCAUAUAAAUGCUCUCCAAGGGUCAGCUGUACUUAGGAAUACAUUUAACCAAGGAGAUGAAGGUGUAUAUACUGAAAGUUGUAAGACUGAUAAAAAAUGGAAGAGGACCCAAAAAUGGAAAGCUGUUCUGUAGUCUUGCAUUUGAAGAAUUAAUACUGUUAAAAUGUCCAUACCGCCCAAAGCAAUCUACAGUUCAGUGCUAUCCCUAUCAAAACUCCAAUGCCAUUUUUAAUAGAAUAGUCCUAAAGUUUGUAAGGAAUCACAAAAGACCCUGAAUAGUCAAAACAAUCUUGAGAAAGAGCAUCAAAGCUGGAAACAUCAUGUUUCCUCAUUUCAAACUACAUUACAAAGCUAUAGUCAUCAAAGUGGUAUGGUAUUAGUAUAAAAAUAGAUCAGUGGAACAGGAUAGAGAGUGCAGAAACAAACUUAGAAAUAUAUAGUCAACUUUCAGUAAACAAGCCAAAAAUAUACGAUGGAGGAAGGGAUAAUCUCUUCAGUAAAUAAUGUGAGGAAAAAAUUGCCACAUGCAUACGAACAAAAGUGGACCCCUAUCCUACACCAUAUACAAAAGUCAACUCAAUAAACUUAAAAAGUUUUUGCACAGCAAAGGAAACCAAAAACAGGACAAAAAGACAACCCAAAGAAUGGGAGAAAAUACUUGCAAAUGGAGAAACUGACAAGGGAUUAAUCUCCAAAAUAUGUGAACAACUGAUGCAGCUCCAUAUAUUAAAAAGAAAAACUCAAUCAAAAAAUGGGCAGAAGAGCUAAAUAGACAUUUCUCCAAAGA